AUGCGCACAGGAUCCGGCUCCGGAGGCGGACCCUGGCUGCCAUCUUGCAGUGCGCGGGAACCGCCGCCGCCGCUGGCCAAAAAGCGGAGGCCAGGGGAAGCGUGUCCUGCUCAGACCGCCUUCCUCCUCCAUUGCCACCCGUGCCGAACAGCCAGGCUGCCCAACUGCAACUGUAGACCAAUGAACUAAUCCAUCGCCCGCAGCCCGACUCUCAGCAGCGGUUCGUCCCGGUGCCCACCCCCGCGAAGCGGAGCGCCCGGGCACCUAGCCUCCCUGCCGGCCACGAUGCCGAACGUGCUGCUGCCGCCCAAGGAGAGCAACCUCUUCAAACGCAUCUUGAAAUGUUAUGAACAGAAGCAGUACAAAAAUGGCCUCAAGUUUUGCAAGAUGAUUCUGUCGAACCCAAAAUUUGCUGAACAUGGAGAGACUUUGGCUAUGAAAGGAUUAACACUGAACUGUUUAGGAAAAAAAGAAGAAGCUUAUGAAUUUGUUCGUAAAGGACUUCGUAAUGAUGUCAAGAGUCAUGUCUGUUGGCAUGUAUAUGGACUCUUGCAGCGUUCUGAUAAAAAAUAUGAUGAAGCUAUAAAAUGUUACCGAAAUGCCCUCAAAUUAGAUAAAGAUAACCUGCAAAUUUUGAGGGAUCUCUCACUGUUGCAGAUCCAAAUGAGAGACCUUGAAGGUUACCGAGAGACAAGAUACCAGCUUCUUCAGUUGCGCCCCACACAGCGUGCCUCCUGGAUUGGAUAUGCUAUUGCAUACCAUUUGCUGAAAGAUUAUGAUAUGGCCCUAAAACUGUUGGAAGAAUUUAGACAAACUCAGCAAGUUCCUCCGAACAAAAUAGAUUAUGAAUAUAGUGAACUGAUAUUAUACCAGAAUCAAGUGAUGAGAGAGGCAGAUCUGUUUCAGGAAUCUUUGGAACAUAUAGAAACAUAUGAGAAACAAAUAUGUGAUAAACUUUUGGUGGAAGAAAUUAAAGGGGAAAUACUGUUGAAAUUGGGAAGAUUAAAAGAAGCCAGUGAAGUGUUCAAAAACUUGAUUGAUCGGAAUGCAGAAAAUUGGUGUUAUUAUGAAGGCUUGGAAAAAGCUCUACAAAUUAGCACUUUAGAAGAGAGGCUUCAAAUUUAUGAAGAAAUUAGUAAGCAGCACCCCAAAGCAAUUACACCCAGAAGAUUACCUUUGACUCUUGUCCCAGGUGAAAGAUUUAGAGAACUAAUGGAUAAGUUCCUGAGGGUUAACUUCAGUAAAGGCUGCCCACCCUUGUUUACUACUUUGAAAUCUUUAUAUUACAAUACAGAAAAGGUUUCUAUAAUCCAGGAACUUGUUACUAAUUAUGAAGCCUCUCUUAAAACGUGUGACUUUUUUAGCCCAUAUGAGAAUGGGGAGAAGGAACCCCCAACAACACUACUCUGGGUUCAGUAUUUCCUGGCACAGCACUUUGAUAAACUUGGACAGUAUUCUUUGGCUUUGGAUUAUAUUAAUGCUGCAAUUGCUAGUACUCCAACUCUAAUAGAAUUAUUCUAUAUGAAAGCAAAAAUUUACAAGCAUAUAGGUAAUCUCAAAGAAGCUGCAAAGUGGAUGGAUGAAGCACAGUCUUUGGACACAGCUGAUAGAUUCAUCAAUUCCAAAUGUGCAAAAUACAUGCUUCGAGCAAAUAUGAUAAAAGAAGCAGAGGAAAUGUGCUCCAAGUUCACAAGGGAAGGAACAUCUGCCAUGGAAAAUCUAAAUGAAAUGCAGUGUAUGUGGUUUCAGACAGAAUGCAUUUCAGCUUAUCAGCGUCUGGGGAGAUACGGGGAUGCCUUGAAAAAAUGUCAUGAAGUAGAAAGGCACUCUCCUUCCACAUGGACCACAGGAGGAAAAGAGCCGCAAAUGCACCCCUGAGGCAGUCCUCAGCAGCCCUCAGUUGUGGGGGCAAUCGGCACCACUGUUCCCAUCCUGACGCAGUAUAGAACCACAGGCAUCGUAGUCAGCAUUUUUUUGAGAUAACUGAUGACCAAUUCGACUUCCAUACAUACUGCAUGAGAAAGAUGACCCUUCGUGCCUAUGUUGACCUUUUGAGAUUAGAAGAUAUACUCAGAAGACAUGCCUUUUAUUUCAAGGCUGCUAGAUCAGCGAUUGAAAUAUACUUGAAAUUGUAUGAUAAUCCCUUAACCAGUGAAAGCAAACAACAAGAAAUAAACUCAGAAAACUUGUCAGCCAAAGAAUUGAAGAAAAUGCUUAGCAAGCAGAGAAGAGCUCAGAAAAAGGCUAAACUAGAAGAAGAAAGAAAGCAUGCAGAAAGAGAACGUCAACAGAAAAAUCAAAAGAAAAAAAGAGAUGAAGAAGAAGAAGAAGCCAGUGGCCUUAAGGAAGAACUUAUACCUGAAAAAUUAGAAAGGGUAGAAAAUCCAUUAGAGGAAGCCGUUAAGUUCCUUAUACCUCUUAAGAACCUUGUUGCUGAUAACAUUGACACUCAUCUGUUAGCAUUUGAAAUAUAUUUUAGAAAAGGAAAGUUUCUGUUAAUGCUGCAGUCUGUCAAACGAGCUUUUGCUAUUAACAGUAAUAACCCAUGGUUACAUGAAUGUUUAAUUAGAUUUUCUAAAUCUGUGUCUAAUCAUAGUAAUCUUCCAGACAUUGUGAGCAAAGUUCUAUCUCAAGAAAUGCAGAAAAUAUUUGUCAAAAAGGAUUUGGAGAGUUUUAAUGAGGAUUUUCUGAAACGUAACGCUACCUCUCUUCAGCAUCUACUUUCAGGUGCUAAAAUGAUGUAUUUUCUGGACAAGUCAAGGCAGGAGAAAGCAAUUGCUAUAGCCACUAGACUAGAUGAAACUAUAAAAGAUAAAGAUGUAAAGACAUUAAUAAAGGUUUCUGAAGCACUGCUUGAUGGCAGCUUUGGGAACUGUAGUUCCCAAUAUGAAGAAUAUAGGAUGGCCUGUCAUAACCUGCUUCCUUUUACAUCUGCCUUCUUGCCUGCUGUGAAUGAAGUCGACAAUCCUAUUGUGGCACUGAACCAUACAGCUAAUUAUGAUGUCUUGGCAAAUGAAAUUUGAAAUCUUCUAGAAAGUAGACUCCUAUAGACUCAAAGCUGAAUUGAGAUCAGGGUUUCUUUUCCAGGGUGCAUUUUAAUAUACGUAUGAAAUGAAAUAUUUGGUUAGGAUUUUUAAAUGGCAUAUUCUGUAAGCUUAUUUUGUUCUUUACCCGACCUGCCAAUUUACAUAACCAUCUGUUAAAAUUACCUGUUUAUUCUUAAACAGUUUUGUGGUAGCUCCGAUCGCUUAUGAUAAUUUCUUACUAAGCUAAGUUGUAUACAACCCCACUGUAUUAUUUUCUUUAGAUUCUGAUUUCAGGAUCUGUGCUUUGAUUCCUUGUCUGUUUUAUCGUAUAUUUGCUUGCUUUUUAAUUAAAGCACAUCAGUUUUAAAGUGUUAACUAUAUGUUAAAAACAAUAUGGAGGCUGGGCGUGGUGGCUCACACCUGUAAUCCCAGCACUUUGGGAGGCCCAGACUGGCGGAUCACCUGAGGUCAGGAGAUCGAGAUCAGCCUGGCCAACGUGGUGAAACCCCUUCUCUACUGAAAAUACAAAAAUUAGCCAGACGUGAUGGCACGCACCUGUAAUCCCAGCUGCCCAGGAGCUGAGGCCGGAGAAUCGCUUGAACCUGGGAGGUGGAGGUUGCAGUGAGCCGAGAUCAUGCCACUGCACUCCAGCCUGGGCAACAGAGCAAGACUCUAUCUCGAAAAAAAGGAAUUCCUCUUGGCAGAUAUUGAAGUUUAUUUGAAAAUUUAAUUCGUCCUUUUUUCAUUGUAAUAUUUCAUGGUUUAUUAUUUCCUUUGUUGUAUUCAUGAAAAUGGUAUUUUCUGGUUGAAUAAGGGUACUCUAGUUUUAUGUAGAUGAAUUCAGAAUGUGAAGGCUGGUUUGCCUGUCAGUCAUGGAAAUUCACCGGUAAAAUUGUUGCAUAUUUCUCUCUCCCAGUCUUAAAAGCCCACAGGCAAGAAUUAAUGCUUUCUUAACUAAGUUACUUCGAGUGUUAACAAGUAGCUUAUACUGAGGUGUGCUUCAAGGGAGCAUUAUAGGGCAGAAAACAAAUUAAAAUGAAACGUUAUUAUAGCCAUGCAUUGACCAUUAAAUGCAUUUUUAUAUCUCGGCAAAAUGAAAUUUGAAACUCAUUAGUUUAACUCUUAAAACAUAGUGUUGUUAAACAGUAUUUUUGGGGGCGGGUGGAUAGCUUUUUGUUUUAUCUUGUACAGAAAACAGUAAUGGAAUCACUCAUGUUCAGAACCUUGUAAAUAUGUCUGUAAUAUUAAUGCUUCCCUUUAUUAAGACAAAUAUACAUUCAAAAAGGGAGAUUUUAUUUAGACACACAUUUUCUUUUCACCCUAAUCUAUUUAGAUUCAUACUUAUUGAGACGGGAAAAACUCACUGUAAAAUAAUGCCAACCUAGAUAAUGCUAUAAUAAAUUAUUUUGUACACAGUU
Pan troglodytes (chimpanzee) is the source of this 4444-nucleotide RNA transcript. It is a transcript of the gene named N-alpha-acetyltransferase 16, NatA auxiliary subunit, with no coding region annotated. The transcript has 21 exons. Lineage: Eukaryota; Metazoa; Chordata; Mammalia; Primates; Hominidae. The record is from RefSeq and is a predicted model, not a curated record.